This 64-nucleotide transfer RNA is filed under the name Scolytinae sp. BMNH 1040146. Its description in RNAcentral is "tRNA-Cys". The record is from RNAcentral. Lineage: Eukaryota; Metazoa; Arthropoda; Insecta; Coleoptera; Curculionidae.
AAUUAUAUAGUCUAUACAGGAUACUAAAUUGCAAAUUUAGUGGUAUUUUUAAAUUUUAUAAUUU